UAACGCGUAUGCGACCUGCCCGUUGCAGGGGGAUAAUCGGGAGAAAUCCCGUCUAAUACCGCGUAAUGCCGCGGGGCUGCAUGGCCCUGCGGCCAAAGGGAGCGAUUCCGGCAACGGAUGGGCAUGCGUGACAUUAGCUAGUUGGCGGGGCAACGGCCCACCAAGGCGACGAUGUCUAGGGGUUCUGAGAGGAAGGUCCCCCACACUGGUACUGAGACACGGACCAGACUCCUACGGGAGGCAGCAG
This 247-nucleotide ribosomal RNA is filed under the name uncultured bacterium. Its description in RNAcentral is "partial 16S ribosomal RNA". It matches the Rfam family "Bacterial small subunit ribosomal RNA", at positions 111 to 354 of the family's 1533-position model. The record is from RNAcentral.